UGGUUGAUCCUGCCAGUAGCAUAUGCUUGUCUCAAAGAUUAAGCCAUGCAUGUCUAAGUACAAGCCGCUAGACGGCGAAACCGCGAAUGGCUCAAUAAAUCAGUUAUGGUUCCUUAGAACAGUCAAUCCUACUUGGAUAACUGUGGUAAUUCUAGAGCUAAUACAUGCACCCAAGCCCCGACUCGGGGGGCAACUCUCGAGAAAGGGCGCUUUUAUUAGAUCAAAACCAGUCGAGAGCUUCGGCUCUCGUUAAGUUUGGUGACUCUGGAUAACUUCACGCUGAUCGCACGGUCUUCGCACCGGCGACGAUUCUUCCAAAUGUCUGCCUUAUCAACUGUCGAUGGUAGGUUAUGCGCCUACCAUGGUUGCAACGGGUAACGGGGAAUCGGGGUUCGAUUCCGGAGAGGGAGCCUGAGAAACGGCUACCACAUCCAAGGAAGGCAGCAGGCGCGCAAAUUACCCACUCCCGGCACGGGGAGGUAGUGACGAAAAAUAACGAUACGGGACUCUUCCGAGGCCCCGUGAUUGGAAUGAGUACACUUUAAAUCCUUUAACGAGGACCCAUUGGAGGGCAAGUCUGGUGCCAGCAGCCGCGGUAACUCCAGCUCCAAUAGCGUAUAUUAAAGUUGUUGCGGUUAAAAAGCUCGUAGUCGGAGUUCUGUCUUCGGCCGAGGGGGGAUUCUGCCUACACGGUAUGAGUCUCGUUCCCUUUGGGUGUGCGGUGUCAAAGCCGUGCACUCUUAACGGUCGGACAAGUCCGUCGGAGUGUGGUUAUUGUUGGAAGGGCAACCGACCAAUGAGGCCACCGUAAUCGUUCGGGGUGCCUUUAAUCGGGUGUCACGGGCGGCCGACAUAGUUUACUUUGAACAAAUUAGAGUGCUCAAAGCAGGUGACUACCGCCUGAAUAGUACAGCAUGGAAUGAUGAAAGAGGACCUCGGUCUGAUUUUGCUGGUCUUUAACGGUCGGGCUUCGGCCCGGCCUAUGCAGACCCGAGGUAAUGGUCAAUAGAGACGGACGGGGGCAUCCGUACUGCGGCGACAGAGGUGAAAUUCUUGGACCGCCGCAAGACGAACGACAGCGAAGGCAUUUGCCAAGAAUGUUUUCCUUGAUCAAGAACGAAAGUUAGAGGUUCGAAGGCGAUCAGAUACCGCCCUAGUUCUAACCAUAAACGAUGCCAACUAGCGAUCCGCCGGUGUUACUCCCAUGACUCGGCGGGCAGCUUCCGGGAAACCAAAGUCUUUGGGUUCCGGGGGAAGUAUGGUUGCAAAGCUGAAACUUAAAGGAAUUGACGGAAGGGCACCACCAGGAGUGGAGCCUGCGGCUUAAUUUGACUCAACACGGGAAACCUCACCAGGCCCGGACACUGGAAGGAUUGACAGAUUGAGAGCUCUUUCUUGAUUCGGUGGGUGGUGGUGCAUGGCCGUUCUUAGUUGGUGGAGCGAUUUGUCUGGUUAAUUCCGAUAACGAACGAGACUCUAGCCUGCUAAAUAGGUGCCGGG
RNAcentral lists this ribosomal RNA (1500 nucleotides) under metagenome. Its description in RNAcentral is "SSU rRNA". It matches the Rfam family "Eukaryotic small subunit ribosomal RNA", at positions 5 to 1366 of the family's 1831-position model. The record is from RNAcentral.